UACCUGCAGCUCGAGUGGUAACCGCUAUUAUUGGGCCUAAAGCGUCCGUAGCCGGUUUGGUAAAUAUCUGGGUAAAUCGUGAGGCUUAACUUCACGAAUUUCGGAUAGACUGCCAGACUUGGGAUCGGGGGAGGUCAGAGGUACUCCAGGGGUAGCGGUGAAAUGUUGUAAUCCUUGGAGGACCACCGGUAGCGAAGGCGUCUGACUAGAACGAGUCCGACGGUGAGGGACGAAGCCCUGGGGCGCAAACCGGGAUUAGAUACCCGGGUAGUCCAGGGUGUAAGCGAUGUGGGCUUUGUAUUGGAGGUCCCACGUGGGCGUCCAGUGCAGAAGAGAAGUUGUUAAGCCCACCGCCUGGGAAGUACGGUCGCAAGGCUGAAACUUAAAGGAAUUGGCGGGGAGCACAGCAACGGGAGGAGCGUGCGGUUU
This 429-nucleotide ribosomal RNA is filed under the name uncultured archaeon. Its description in RNAcentral is "bacterial SSU rRNA". It matches the Rfam family "Archaeal small subunit ribosomal RNA", at positions 474 to 903 of the family's 1478-position model. The record is from RNAcentral.